This 1098-nucleotide long non-coding RNA is filed under the name Capsella rubella. Its description in RNAcentral is "long non-coding RNA (CRUB_LNC003756)". Lineage: Eukaryota; Viridiplantae; Streptophyta; Magnoliopsida; Brassicales; Brassicaceae. The record is from RNAcentral.
AUUAACUAUAUAUACUACACCUUCCUUCGUCGUUUUUAAUAUGAAAAUUUGAAACACUAUUGUACAAUAUUUAAAGUUUUCUAUAACCAAAAAAAAAGAAGAAAAAACACUAUCGAUCUAUAUAGAUCAAACAUGAUGAGAAAAUCCAAUCAAAUUUCCUUCUUUGUUCUUAUUAUCUUCACAAUUCUUCUACUAGGUAUAUAUGCUUACAUUUUUCUGAAACUGUAUUUACAUUUUACAUAUAAAUUUCUAAGAAUAAACGAGGGUUUGAUAUCAUAUUAAACAUUUUAAAAUAAUUUAAUUUCUCCUAAUUGAUUAAAUACUUUUUUCAUGCAAACUUUUAAAUUUCUUCACAUAUAUUGGUUAAUUUCCCUACUUUAUAAAUUUAUAUAGUCUCAACAUUUUUAAAAUAAUUGUGAUGUCAAGUGAUGAUGGAAACAUAUUUCAACUGUUUCCUUUUUUCAUCAAUUUUUUUCUUCCUUUCAAUAAGUAAGUGUUUCAAAUUAAAAAUAUUUUGUUUCAUAAAUAUUGGUGUUAGAACAGUUUCUAAGGAAAAUUAUAUGAUACAUUCAUAUAAUUUUCAGUUACUAGAUAUCAAUAAUUAUAAACAUAUGUUCCAUUACAGUAAAAAGUCAAAGUAAUUAUAUUUUCAUUUUUUAAAUAUAUGAACUAAUAAUUAAGAAUACUUUUUGUAAUUGUAACAGGAGUGAAAGGUUUUGAUUUUAGAAAUAAGUGUGGUGCUGUUUUAAGCUAUACUGGUUGUACUGCAAAAAAUUGUAAGGAGAUGUGUGCGAAGAGAAAUCUAAAAGGACAACCCCACUGCGUCACUUCACCUGGCGGACCGUAUAAAGGACAUCAACAAUGUGCAUGCACCUGGAAAUGCUAAUUAGUAUUAGGGCUAAUAACAACAAGUUAACAAGAAUAAUACUAGUAUUAAGAACUUUAUAAUGAAAUAAUGCAAUAUUUGAUGUGGAUUUUGUAGUCCUAACAUAUACAGUAUGUGUCAUUGUUGAUGUUUGGGGUUAGAAUGUGGUGUAAUAAUCGUUUAAUUAUGACAAUAUACUUUAAAUUAUCUUUAGUCUUCAAGAUGAACAGAGU